AGAGUGAACGCUGGCGGUAGGCCUAACACAUGCAAGUCGAACGGUAGCACAGUGGUAGCAAUACCAUGGGUGGCGAGUGGCGGACGGGUGAGGAAUACAUCGGAAUCUACCUUUUCGUGGGGGAUAACGUAGGGAAACUUACGCUAAUACCGCAUACGCCCUUCGGGGGAAAGCCGGGGAUCGCAAGACCUGGCGCGGAUAGAUGAGCCGAUGUCGGAUUAGCUAGUUGGUGAGGUAAUGGCUCACCAAGGCGACGAUCCGUAACUGGUCUGAGAGGAUGAUCAGUCACACUGGAACUGGGACACGGUCCAGACUCCUACGGGAGGCAGCAGUGGGAAUAGUUGACAAUGGGCGAAAGCCUGAUCCAGCCAUGCCGCGUGUGUGAAGAAGGUCUUCGAUUAGUAAAGCACGUUUAAGUUGGUAGAAGGUUAGUAAUUAAGUACGUUGCUAACGUUUGAACGUUACCGACAGAAUAAGCACGACUAAUCGCGCCAGCAGCG
Molecule: ribosomal RNA, 500 nt
Filed under: uncultured soil bacterium
Lineage: Bacteria
Description: bacterial SSU rRNA
Rfam family: Bacterial small subunit ribosomal RNA
Source: RNAcentral